RNAcentral lists this ribosomal RNA (432 nucleotides) under uncultured bacterium. RNAcentral's name for it is "partial 16S ribosomal RNA". It matches the Rfam family "Bacterial small subunit ribosomal RNA", at positions 29 to 507 of the family's 1533-position model. The record is from RNAcentral.
ACGAACGCUGGCGGCAUGCCUAACACAUGCAAGUCGAACGAGCCCUUCGGGGUUAGUGGCGCACGGGUGCGUCACGCGUGGGAAUCUGCCCUUGGGUUCGGAAUAACAGUGAGAAAUUACUGCUAAUACCGGAUGAUGUCUUCGGACCAAAGAUUUAUCGCCCAAGGAUGAGCCCGCGUAGGAUUAGCUAGUUGGUGGGGUAAUGGCCUACCAAGGCGACGAUCCUUAGCUGGUCUGAGAGGAUGAUCAGCCACAUUGGGACUGAGACACGGCCCAGACUCCUACGGGAGGCAGCAGUGGGGAAUAUUGGACAAUGGGCGAAAGCCUGAUCCAGCAAUGCCGCGUGAGUGAUGAAGGCCUUAGGGUUGUAAAGCUCUUUUACCCGGGAUGAUAAUGACAGUACCGGGAGAAUAAGCUCCGGCUAACUCCGUG